CUUUUCUUUCUGGCUCUGGACUAACCAAGUCUAUACCUCAGUCACCAUCUGAACAAUUUUCCUCUUAUAAGCCUUUCAAGGCUGUCCCAGAAUGAGCUCCAAACUGGCUGUCCCACGUACGAAAGCCCGUGAGAGACUGUCCCAGGCAUAAGCUCCAAACGAGCUAUCCCAGGCAUGAGCUCCUAACCAGCUGAUCCACCUAUAAGCCAGUGGGGAUUGUUCCAGGCAUAAGCUCCUGACGGACUGUCCCAGACAUAAGCUCCCGACAGACUGUCCCAGGCAUAAGCUCCUGACCGG
This 297-nucleotide long non-coding RNA is filed under the name Elaeis guineensis (African oil palm). Its description in RNAcentral is "long non-coding RNA (EGUI_LNC076875)". Lineage: Eukaryota; Viridiplantae; Streptophyta; Magnoliopsida; Arecales; Arecaceae. The record is from RNAcentral.